RNAcentral lists this ribosomal RNA (266 nucleotides) under uncultured bacterium. RNAcentral describes it as "partial 16S ribosomal RNA". It matches the Rfam family "Bacterial small subunit ribosomal RNA", at positions 355 to 618 of the family's 1533-position model. The record is from RNAcentral.
UGAGGAAUAUUGGUCAAUGGGCGGAAGCCUGAACCAGCCAUCCCGCGUGCAGGAAGACGGCCCUAUGGGUUGUAAACUGCUUUUCCAGGGGGAGAAACUUUCCGAUGAAUCGGGAUUUGACGGUACCCUGGGAAUAAGCAUCGGCUAACUCCGUGCCAGCAGCCGCGGUAAUACGGAGGAUGCGAGCGUUAUCCGGAUUUAUUGGGUUUAAAGGGUGCGUAGGCGGAUCGAUAAGUCAGUGGUGAAAACCGGCAGCUUAACUGUAG